UGGCGACGUUUUGGGGAGUAGUCGCCUUAGGUUUAUUUGUCGUCAUCACGUUGAGUUUGACUCAACCGGCAAAUAUAAGCUCUGAAUCCAAGUUCAACGCUUCGACGAGACCAACGCAUUCAAU
RNAcentral lists this unclassified non-coding RNA (124 nucleotides) under Vibrio cholerae. RNAcentral describes it as "yybP-ykoY". The record is from RNAcentral. Lineage: Bacteria; Pseudomonadati; Pseudomonadota; Gammaproteobacteria; Vibrionales; Vibrionaceae.